GACGAACGCUGGCGGCGUGCUUAACACAUGCAAGUCGAACGGAAAGGCCCUGCUUUUGUGGGGUGCUCGAGUGGCGAACGGGUGAGUAACACGUGAGUAACCUGCCCUUGACUUUGGGAUAACUUCAGGAAACUGGGGCUAAUACCGGAUAGGAGCUCCUGCUGCAUGGUGGGGGUUGGAAAGUUUCGGCGGUUGGAGAUGGACUCGCGGCUUAUCAGCUUGUUGGUGGGGCAGUGGCUUACCAAGGCUUUGACGGGUAGCCGGCCUGAGAGGGUGACUGGCCACAUUGGGACUGAGAUACGGCCCAGACUCCUACGGGAGGCAGCAGUGGGGAAUAUUGCACAAUGGGCGGAAGCCUGAUGCAGCAACGCCGCGUGCGGGAUGACGGCCUUCGGGUUGUAAACCGCUUUCGCCUGUGACGAAGCGUGAGUGACGGUAAUGGGUAAAGAAGCACCGGCUAACUACGUG
Molecule: ribosomal RNA, 468 nt
Filed under: uncultured bacterium
Lineage: Bacteria
Description: partial 16S ribosomal RNA
Rfam family: Bacterial small subunit ribosomal RNA
Source: RNAcentral